AGGGAAAGAAAAAAAAGAAGAGAGAGGGAAGAGAGAAGGGAGGGGGGAAGGGGAAUCCGGCCAGGGGGCCGGUCACCGGAGGCUCACCUGCGCCGGCGCCGGCCACCGCACGCGGUGGCCGGAAAAGGUAAAAAAUAUUUUUUUUUUAUUUUUUUUAUGUUUAUACUUUUUGUAUUUUUUAUAUAUAUUAAUAUUUAUGUAUGGAAAAUAGGUUUAGAGAACGAGACUAACAAAAUAAAGAAAAAGAUUACCUUAUAUUUGUAGUUUUUGAUUUUUUGACAACUUUGAACUUCUGAUUUCAGUGUUAAAGUCACGGCUUGUACAUGUGUUUCAUUCUAUCUUGGUUAUUGAUUUCUUUUGAACACUUGAAUGAAUGUUAAAAAUGAAAACAGAAAAGAAAAAGAAAACCCCCCUGUUACAUUGAUUCUCUUUCGGCUUUUAUAGCCGAUUACAUGUGAUUUUCACUGCUCUCUGCUUGUUUUGCUUUUGUUUUGCAUGUUUCUCCAUUCAUUUCCUGUCUUCUUCUGUUUAUUCUUUCCCCCAUCCCUCGCAUGCUGUUGUUUUUGUCUCUAUUACAGGUGUGUCAGGUGUGGGUGGUGUCAGACGCAUGGAGGAGAAGGGCAUGCGCGGGGUGUGGUGGUGGUGCGCAAGGUGGCCCAUGGUUGGCCUAGCGUGCGGCGGCUGGAGGCUUGGG
RNAcentral lists this long non-coding RNA (694 nucleotides) under Gossypium barbadense (sea-island cotton). RNAcentral's name for it is "long non-coding RNA (GBAR_LNC017463)". The record is from RNAcentral. Lineage: Eukaryota; Viridiplantae; Streptophyta; Magnoliopsida; Malvales; Malvaceae.